GAUGAUGGCUCUGAUUGAACGCUAUCCUAGUGCUUGACACAUGCUAAUCGAACGUCUAACUAUAUUAGAAAUAAUAGAGUUAGAAGUGGUGUACAGGUGAGUAAAAGAUAUUAUGGCUACCUUGGAGUAAGGGACAUUAAAAUCCCUUAUAUCAUAUUGGGGACUUGUAUUAAAAGAAAUUUAUUUUCGCUCCUAGAUGGAAAUUAAUAUCUCGGACAGGUAGUAGUUAAGGUAAUGGCUUAACUAGCUUAUGUCCGUAGUCGAGACUGAGAGGUCGAUCGACCACAUUGGGUCUGAAAAAACCCCAAUACGUAUAGUACAGCAGUGAGGAAUAUUGGCAAUGGCCUAACGGCUGAACCAGCAACUUGGGGGAAUGGAUAUAUAUAUUAGAGAUAAUAUAUAGUCCCGACUCUGUCGGAUAAAGUUCUAGAUAGAAGAAUGAUAAUGCAAUUUUCUAUCUAUAUGUCUUGACCAAAUCUUGUGCCAGCAGUCGCGGCAACACAAGGGAGACUAGUGUUAUUCAUCUUUACUAGGUUUAAAGGGUACCUAGACGGUAUAUCAUGCCCCAAAAGGGAACGGAUUUACUAGAGUUUUAUGUGAGAGGCAAAUAUAGUACUAUUGGUGUAGAGAUAAAAUUCUGUGAUACCUCUAGGACGGGUAACGGCGAAGGCAAUCCUCUAUGUAAAAACUGACGUUGAGGGACGAAGGCUCGGGUAGCGAAUAGGAUUAGAUACCCUAGUAGUCCGGGCAGACAAUUAUGAAUGUCAUAGAUUAGAAAUAUUUGAUCUAUAAAUGAAAGUGUAAGCAUUCCACCUCAAGAGUAAGGCGGCAACGUUGGAACUGAAAUCAUUAGACCGUUUCUGAAACCAGUAAAAAAGUUUUA
Molecule: ribosomal RNA, 883 nt
Filed under: Sphaeropsis ulmicola
Lineage: Eukaryota; Fungi; Ascomycota; Dothideomycetes; Botryosphaeriales; Botryosphaeriaceae
Description: SSU rRNA
Rfam family: Bacterial small subunit ribosomal RNA
Source: RNAcentral